RNAcentral lists this ribosomal RNA (805 nucleotides) under uncultured Gammaproteobacteria bacterium. RNAcentral's name for it is "bacterial SSU rRNA". It matches the Rfam family "Bacterial small subunit ribosomal RNA", at positions 60 to 902 of the family's 1533-position model. Lineage: Bacteria; Pseudomonadati; Pseudomonadota; Gammaproteobacteria. The record is from RNAcentral.
AGUCGAACGUGAAAGCACUUCGGUGUGAGUAGAGUGGCGGACGGGUGAGUAACGCGUGGGAAUCUGCCCAGUAGUGGGGGACAACUACCGGAAACGGUAGCUAAUACCGCAUACGCCCUAUGGGGGAAAGGCUUCGGCCGCUAUUGGAUGAGCCCGCGUCAGAUUAGCUAGUUGGUAGGGUAAAGGCCUACCAAGGCAACGAUCUGUAGCUGGUCUGAGAGGACGAACAGCCACACUGGGACUGAGACACGGCCCAGACUCCUACGGGAGGCAGCAGUGGGGAAUAUUGGACAAUGGGCGAAAGCCUGAUCCAGCAAUGCCGCGUGUGUGAAGAAGGCCUGCGGGUUGUAAAGCACUUUCAGGUGGGAAGAUGAUGACGUUACCAACAGAAGAAGCACCGGCUAAAUCCGUGCCAGCAGCCGCGGUAAUACGGAUGGUGCGAGCGUUAAUCGGAAUUACUGGGCGUAAAGCGCGCGUAGGCGGCUAAGUCAGUCAGAAGUGAAAGCCCCGGGCUCAACCUGGGAAUUGCUUUUGAUACUGCUAGGCUAGAGUUUGGUAGAGGAUAGUGGAAUUCCAGGUGUAGCGGUGAAAUGCGUAGAUAUCUGGAGGAACAUCAGUGGCGAAGGCGACUGUCUGGACCAAAACUGACGCUGAGGUGCGAAAGCGUGGGUAGCAAACAGGAUUAGAUACCCUGGUAGUCCACGCCGUAAACGAUGUCAACUAGCCGUCGGGGAUUUUAUUCUUAGUGGCGCAGCUAACGCGAUAAGUAGACCGCCUGGGGAGUACGGCCGCAAGGUUAAAACUC